This is a long non-coding RNA of Sarcophilus harrisii (Tasmanian devil), 639 nucleotides long. RefSeq lists it as uncharacterized. Lineage: Eukaryota; Metazoa; Chordata; Mammalia; Dasyuromorphia; Dasyuridae. The transcript has 3 exons. The record is from RefSeq and is a predicted model, not a curated record.
GUGAAAAGUGGUAACAUCAACAGCACGUUAUAAAUACCAAUCCUUUUCAUCUGCAUGAGGGUCAUGGUGGAUGGAGAGCUGACCUUGGAACUAGGAAAAACCUGAAUGUGUGACCCAGGCUAGUCAUUUCCUCUUCAGCAUAAAUUCAGCCAGCUACUGACUCCUCAAGACUGUCAGUCACUCUCAAAAGACUACAAUUUGCAGAGCCUCUCCAUCAGCCAUUUGUGCACCUCAUCUUCAUCUUCUAUCUGCUUCUCUUCCUGACUAAUGUCUCCUGUUGGGUAGGAUUUGGUUGAAGAAUCCACUUGAAGGGAAGAGAUCAGAGAAGGAUGUCCGAGAGAAGGCAGCUGACUUGUCCGAGGUCACACCGCGGUAAAGGCAGGACUAGAACCCAAGAUUUCUGAUUUCCAGGCCUGUGCUUUUCACACCGGCUCAUCUGCCCAAGAAUCGCGAGAGGCUCCCGCACCUGGAGUUUUAUGUAGCAUCAGAUCUGUGAGUAGGGCCAUCGUGUUGGGAUGGUGUAUCAUCAGGAGAAUGGGUGACGCGGUGGAAAAUAGAGGGAAACUGUAUAAGUAAUAAAUUUGGGAUCAGAGUUUGAUGAUUAAUAAGUGAGUUUUUAACCUUAGAAGUGUGAAGGCC